GGAGGAUGACAUCACUGUGGUGGUGGCAUUCAUUGAGUCUCAGGACUCGGGAUUCUUUGGUUACUAGUUCAACUUUUUUUUCUGAACAGAAGCUAAUAGUGUUUUUUUUUCCUUUUGUGCAGGUUCAAGAUUUGGAUUGGGCGAAGCCAGCAGCUCCUGCAGACAUGGCUUUUGAUACUGUGGGGGUCAAGGUUGAGCUGACCAAGAACUUUGAGAUUGGUGUCUCAAACAAAACUGCUGAAUUUGUCAAGAUGAUUCCCCCUAGAAAGGUACAUUCACCAGUUAAAUUUACAGAUAAGUUUAAGUGUUUAAUACAGUGAUUCAGGAACUAAUAAAUUUUUGCAUGUUCCUGUCCCUGAGACUCCGGGUGGUGUUAUUUUUUUAGAGGAAUGCUAUUGGAUGCUAUGGUUGCUCGUUCGAAGGGUGAGAACCUUCUUACGGAGAAUCUCUUAUUGAACAUGCAUACUUGUACCCAAGGCUUGGUUUCAAACACAAAGAUCUUCUACGAGGUUGCCGUUAAAAGGAGUCUGGGACAUGUAUGACAUAGACAGUUACUCUGGUUCUGUAACUACAAGUACCACACAGAGAACACUGUGUCAUAUGUGGCCCUGAACAAGAUUGGCAGGUUCCUAUUGUGGAUGGAUCUGUGCUGGAAGAAUGCUUUUGGCAAGAUGCUUGUGAUUGGUUCUGUGGCGCCCUUCCGGGUCAAGGGACUCCGCUCUCUUCCGUGACCAGGACAUCCUCAUGGAGACCAAACCUGACAUCUCCGAUGAGGCCCAGAAGGAGCGGCAACGCCAUGAUUGAGGACAAUCUUGAGCUAUGUGCCUUGAAGUGAGCGGAGUAGUGCUUGGGGUCAAGACGGCAGCGUCAAAGAACUAUGUAGGACCUGAAUUCAGUGUUGAAACCAUGACCUGGCUGCCCGCAUCU
This is a long non-coding RNA of Lolium rigidum, 927 nucleotides long. RefSeq lists it as uncharacterized. The transcript is spliced from 5 exons. NCBI's taxonomy places the organism in Eukaryota, Viridiplantae, Streptophyta, Magnoliopsida, Poales, Poaceae. The record is from RefSeq and is a predicted model, not a curated record.